CGGCGAGUGAAGCGGCAACAGCUCAAAUUUGAAAGCUGGCCCCCCCGGGGGUCCGCGUUGUAAUUUGUAGAGGGUGAUUCGGCGAGGGCUCCCGCCUAAGUCCCCUGGAACGGGGCGUCAUAGAGGGUGAGAAUCCCGUAUGCGGUGGGCUGCCUUAGCCAUGUGAAUCUCCUUCGACGAGUCGAGUUGUUUGGGAAUGCAGCUCUAAAUGGGAGGCAAAUUUCUUCUAAAGCUAAAUACCGGCCAGAGACCGAUAGCGCACAAGUAGAGUGAUCGAAAGAUGAAAAGCACUUUGGAAAGAGAGUUAAAAAGUACGUGAAAUUGUUGAAAGGGAAGCGCUUGCAGCCAGACUUGUCCGCAGUUGCUCAGCCGGUCUCCUGACCGGCGCACUCUUCUGCGGCCAGGCCAGCAUCAGUUCGGGCGGUCGGAUAAAGGCCCCGGGAACGUAGCUCCUCUCGGGGAGUGUUAUAGCCCGGGGUGGAAUGCGGCCAGCCUGGACUGAGGAUCUCGCUUCGGCUAGGAUGCUGGCGUAAUGGCUGUAAGCGGCCCGUCUUGAAACACGGACCAAGGAGUCUAACAUCUAUGCGAGUGUUUGGGUGUCAAACCCAUGCGCGUAAUGAAAGUGAACGGAGGUGGGAACCCUCGCGGGUGCACCAUCGACCGAUCCUGAUGUCUUCGGAUGGAUUUGAGUAAGAGCAUAGCUGUUGGGACCCGAAAGAUGGUGAACUAUGCCUGAAUAGGGUGAAGCCAGAGGAAACUCUGGUGGAGGCUCGCAGCGGUUCUGACGUGCAAAUCGAUCGUCAAAUUUGGGUAUAGGGGCGA
This 822-nucleotide small RNA is filed under the name Neoscytalidium hyalinum. RNAcentral's name for it is "eukaryotic LSU rRNA". It matches the Rfam family "Eukaryotic large subunit ribosomal RNA", at positions 87 to 926 of the family's 3401-position model. The record is from RNAcentral. Lineage: Eukaryota; Fungi; Ascomycota; Dothideomycetes; Botryosphaeriales; Botryosphaeriaceae.